AACAAGGAUUCCCCUAGUAGCGGCGAGCGAAGCGGGAAGAGCUCAAAUUUAUAAUCUGGCACCUUCGGUGUCCGAGUUGUAAUCUCUAGAAGUGUUUUCCGCGUUGGACCGCACACAAGUCUGUUGGAAUACAGCGGCAUAGUGGUGAGACCCCCGUAUAUGGUGCGGACGCCCAACGCUUUGUGAUACACUUUCGAAGAGUCGAGUUGUUUGGGAAUGCAGCUCAAAUUGGGUGGUAAAUUCCAUCUAAAGCUAAAUAUUGGCGAGAGACCGAUAGCGAACAAGUACCGUGAGGGAAAGAUGAAAAGCACUUUGGAAAGAGAGUUAACAGUACGUGAAAUUGUUGGAAGGGAAACGCUUGAAGUCAGACUUGCUUGCCGAGCAAUCGGUUUGCAGGCCAGCAUCAGUUUUCUGGGGUGGAUAAUGGUAGAGAGAAGGUAGCAGUUUCGGCUGUGUUAUAGCUCUUUGCUGGAUACACCUUGGGGGACUGAGGAACGCAGUGUGCCUUACGGCGGUUCUCGAAUCUUCACACUUGGAUGCUGG
RNAcentral lists this ribosomal RNA (543 nucleotides) under Rhodotorula taiwanensis. RNAcentral's name for it is "partial large subunit ribosomal RNA". It matches the Rfam family "Eukaryotic large subunit ribosomal RNA", at positions 67 to 629 of the family's 3401-position model. The record is from RNAcentral. Lineage: Eukaryota; Fungi; Basidiomycota; Microbotryomycetes; Sporidiobolales; Sporidiobolaceae.